GUUUGCAGCGUGUUGUGUGUAUACGACUGUAGAGUCGCUGCGUAUUGAAAAAUUCCGACUAUGAAUGUUUCGCAAUGUUUCCGGCGUUACCAUUCCGUGAUUAGACUCAUCUGGCCGGUAAGCUUUCCGUUGCGCUAAAGAAAAUGGGUACCAUAAAAAUUGGUUGUCGGUUCCUUUAAAAGUAAUUUCUACUUGCGUGGAUCUUUUCAUUUCCUCUCGGCUUGUGGCGCUCCGUUACCUCAGUUUCAUUCCUUCAGGUGCCGCAUUGAGGCAUUCUUCAUUUUUUUUUCUUUUGCUCACAGCGACUCUUGAUUCAAGGAUGUCACGAGUUGUGCUGUAUUGGCAAAAGCAGACUUCCCUCAUUCGCUGCAGCCGUUUGCCUACGAUACGGGUUUUUUUUUGUUCACAGUUUACGCAAACUUUUAUUUGGCGCGCAGAUACGUACCAUUAUGGCUUGGAAAAAAAAGGGGUGCAUGUAAUGCAGCUGCAAGCGUGACCGACCAUGUCUUCCAGAUUUGCGUCAAUGGCGGUGGAGUCGUUAAUAUGGUUCAAACUUUUGAACGGGCUUCGAAUAAUGUCUGCUGCUGACCUCGUAUUCAUUUUGAGAAUUAACUGUUUUAAAUUUUCUAACAUUUGCUUAGAAAUGAUAGAUUACUUGGUAUUUGGUUUCAUAUUUGAAGACUCAUAUUUUGUUAUAUUUGUACGUAGCUUAAUUCAUAAUUAUAGCCCCUUCCAUCUCUGCAUUUUUGUGAACUGGAAGUCUGGUCACUCACAAAGCGAAACGUGUAACGGUGCAGGGAGCUUUUGUGGUGUGAAAUUGCGCUGCACAAAUAGCUUAUAUUUAUGACUUGUUUUUUGCAUGAUAGUUUUAUCACUAACAAACAUGGUGACAUGACGAAUCUUGUUAACGUUUUUAAGUGUUCAAUGAGCUAAACGGAACAGUCUUGUUGGAGAACAACGCGAGGUGUUGCGACGGGUCUUUGCGCGAACACUCUGCCUCCGAUUUCGAGGUUUUAGUUACGAUGGCAUCUUUGCCGAGGCUAUCUAAGACUGUGAGCACGUGACCGUCUUUCUUUGGGCAUAAGUAGACUUGCGACCCAUCGGAGGAGAUGGAAGUCUUCUCGUUCUGCUUUUUGAUGGUAAGCAGGCCACUGUAUUUUCUGUUGGCAUUACCAGUGUUUGGUUUAUACCCCCCCUCCAUUAACACAGUCCUUCUUUCGCACCACCCCAUGUGACGGGUUGCAUGUUCUUUUUUCUUUUGUACAGGCAUCGCAGCAUUUAACCAUAUGGCGCACGUUCGUUCAGCGCAUGUGUGAAGUCACUGUGUUUACAAUUAUGCGCACCGUGUAUUUUUUUUUUGCCAGAGUAGCACUUUUUUUUUGUACAUCUGCGAAGAUGGGGUCGAAAUUUCUCGUGUAUGCAGCGGCAGAGAAAUGCUCGCUUGCGUUUGUUUUGCUGUUGUUGUUUGCGUUGUUGUUGUUUGUCUUGUGUUUUUGUUCUCUCUUGACUACAUAACCGUGUGUCUGGGAGACGACCGACGUACCUGAGAGCGCGAGCUUCCUUUGUCGAGAGGGUGGCGAGCUCUUGCAAAGUUAUUUGGUUUGUGUGGGCACGAUUAUACAUUGACGCAGGCAUUGUAGCUAGGCCACUGAGACCUUUCUUUCUUACGGCUCUGUCACUCUGACCUCGGGCAGCAGUUUGGUACUUGUUUUUAUUUUAACUGUCGCAUUUUACGUUAUUUUUGGCAGAUUGGUUAACGUGCGGACAAUGGAGGCACCAAUGAGGUUGCAUAUUGUAGCCUCUGCACUGAAGUGUUCAAACAUCGAUGCAGUUCUGAUUCGUACUGCAAGUUAAAGGACCGAAGCAUCUUUCUUAUUUUAACGAUUGGUUGGCGCUUUUUAUUUCCCACCGUACUGUAGGUUGCGUGAUGAACACAGACAGAAAGGAAUGCUCGGCGAUGACUUGCGCUUUGGCCGUCUCCGCCUUCCUUUCCAUCCUUGAUUAUCGAGCACCUAAUGUCCGACCAGCUCAGCUUUUCAGCUGUUCUUCUGAUUGGGGUACCAGCAGGACAUUCAGUGGACUUUGUACAACCGAGUGAUUUAACUGUUCCCAGGGUUGUUCCCAUCACGUUUUGUUCGCUAAAAGUGGUGGCAGUCUUGUUUAUAGGAGCUAACAGAACCACAGCUGAUAACGAAAGCUAUUUUCAAGAAUUCGUUUAAAAUAUAUUCAUGCCUGCCUGGUGUUUGAUUAGGGAGAUGUAAAAUUCCUACUUUCACCAAACAUUUGUAAUAGUUGGAUGUAACAUUUGUCAUUACAUAAGCCAGGAUUUAGCGUAAGAAAUAAUUUUACGAGUCUCGUACAACACAUCAACUCAGGACAGGUGUUGCUGAACUUUGUCGAAUGUUAAGCAAAAGACUUUUAGAGAGAACAAAAGUUCAGCUCUUUCUUUUCCUCCUCUUUGAAAUUUUAUUGUAUGGUUUGGCGUUAUCCAGGAGAAAAAGAAAGCAGAUCAGUGGCCUAGCUACAGUAAAAAAUGGAAUGGCGAAACCAGUAGGCAUGUUGUUUAAGAUGUUGACAUUUUUUAUAGGGCAUUGUUUACCCGGACAUGUUAUCAGAGCAACCAUCGUUGAAAUUAUUUAGAUGCUGUUGAGAGAAAACACACGCAAAAAAAAAGAGAGAUGCACAUUUUAUGCUAAAGCCGUAUUUUAGUGUAAUCUGUAACAGUGCAGCAUCCGUUCAGUGCUGCCUUUUUAGACUGUUCAGAAAGUGACCUGCGUACAAGUUUGCGUACUUUACUAUUAUAAUAUCAUAGUUUAUAUGACAAUCGUGUCGGGUGUUAGUCACGGGGGUUUUGGGGAGUCGUGUCUAUUUUUUUGUUCCCCCUAUUUCAUGUUGCUGCCGCUGUACACUGUGCCGUGUUUGUAGUAUGUGCACAUUACUAACUGUGUGUCUAUCGAACAGAUUCGCUACAUGCAGUUUUGACAAUUCAGAAAGAGCGCGUACUGUUUUUUGCACAUUUUUCUUGUCAUUUGCAUGUGCGUAGUCCGUAGCACUCGUAGUCACGUUGUCGUGCCUGCCUGGCACGCAACGGUUUGCAUUCACAGAGAUAGGAUGGUAUGUUAUCUUCUGCACCGAUAUUAUUUUUGUUGUUGUUACGAUCGGAGAACCUUGAUAUUAUUGCGGAAUGAUUUGCGUGUUGUCAUUGACCACCCACCUAUUCAGUGACUGCGGUUUUCCCAAACCCGAUGAAAACAGUCUUGGCACUACUGUCAGUUUAAUCAUAGCCUCUAGCAUUACCAUGUCUAUGAUCACAGAUGCCGAGUUCACAUCUGAAAAUCACUAGCACACAAAAAGAAAAGUAAAAGGGAAGCUCACAUUUUGAAUGUGCGCCAUCCAUUUGAAAAUGCCACUGAAGAGGAGGGCAUCACAAAAUAAGAGGCGUGCACUGUGUGCCAAUAAACCUAGCUCAUUCUAGGUGAAUUGCCAUGUUUUGUGUUUUAAGUCAUUGGCACUACGUCACAUAAGGUUGUAUUCACCGUGGUCACUGAACAGGGGAAGUACUUGACUAACGUGCUUCGUGUGUACAUUUUUUGAUUAAGCUUCAAAUGCAUGACCAUCAGCUCCUGCAAAGCCUUCUUACUUUGUGUGUAAUUAGCUUUGCUUAAUUUUAUCAUUUCGAAAGUCAGACUCAAUUGGUACCGUGUGACACAGCGCGUCUAGGUAUUCCAAGUUCAUGGUGCUUGUGAGCAUUGCAUUGUCGUUGCGCCUGACCUUGUGCAAAGUUGUGUAAAACAAACAAACAAAAAAAUGCUCUGAGCUGUGUUCACCUGUGUGUGCGUUAACUUAAAGGAGUGCCGAUUCAACAGUUGCGACUUGUUUGCUAUGUCAAACGACGGUCACUAGCUCGUAAACAUUUCAAAAUUGAUAGGUAAAUGUCGCAGCACACGAAAUAAUUUUCGUUAGUAGCUCUUUCUAUGAGUUCAUUUGAGUUUUGGAUCUGUCAUGGCAUCGUAACACAAGGUAAAGUUGGGUGAACUAGUUUCGACUCAUGACAUGGAAAGGUGCGAAAAAGACAACACAAAAUAGAAAGCAUCGUAUACUGUGUCUUAUGUUCUGUCGUUGUCUUUUUCACAUCAUCCUAACAAAGUCACUUGCUUUGUUCUUGCAGCUGCACAUGUGCCAUGUACGAGCAGAGCCAGAAAAUUUUUAAAUAUGUAAAGGCUUUUCUCUUUUACGAUCAAAAUCAUACCUUGGUUCUCGCUACAAAGCAUUUGCAGAUAUUCUUGUGACAUCAAAUGGCACCAUUGAGGUGAUGUCUGGCAUUUUGAGGCGAAUUUUAGUUUCAAAUUGGAACAUUUUAUAAGUAUGACGUGGCCUUCAUAAUUGCCAAAAGUAGUCAUUUGAUGUGUGUAUGUAUUGCUUUGAAAUUACAUCGGUACUUCUUUAAGGAAAAUGCAAAACUAGACUGGGUGAUAACCAAACACGCCAAUCUCUUUGGCAAUGUUGAAAGAGCCAGUGAAAACAGGAGCAAGCCAAGCGCAGUCAAAUCAAGUGGUCGAAGUGGUAAAAUGUGUUUGGCUAGAGAAACACUUCGAUUAGUAUUUUAAUCCACUUUUGGACGUUGCAAGUCAGGAAUGCGAUUACUGGUCAUGAUGUUUCCGCCAUGCCGCUGCGGGAAUCACAAUCUCGCCGGCAUUUGACGAAGCUGACGUGUGCUUUCUUAACCGUAACCAGACAUGGCCGCAGGGAGAAACGUCUCUGCAUUCAGACGAUCAUAAAACACAUCAGCCAGAUCAUUUCACCCAUGUUGCUAAAAAUCAUUGCAUGUUCGCAAGUAUUUCACUCGCAUCCCGCGUGUUCAUCUUGCGUGUUUUUUUUUUUUCUUUACUGCUCCGAGCUUUUGAUAAAAAAAGUUUUUAAACUCGAGGCCCACUUGUACAGAUCAUCCCGUUUACACAUUUUUUGUAUAUGUCAACGUUGAAGCGGUUCAUCCAUAAUAAAUGUACUCGUCGCUCAAAUGUGCGCACACUCACCUUGUAGCCGUUUAAAACCCAUCACCACACACUAUCCCGAGAUGUUGCUUGCACAAAAGUUUUUUAAAGUGAGAAGUACAAUGCUAGCUAGAAUGACGGUUGACGUUAGGAGUGCCGAGUGCGUGCUUGUAUUGCCUGGAGUCUUAAUUACUACGCGAAUCGGCUAUUGUUUGCUGUUCUGUCUUGUAAAGAUCUAAGGGGGCAUGACGUCAGUAAAACACAGGUGCUGAGCCGCCUCCCCUCCCACCCAGGGAAGAGGAAAAAGCUGCCAGAUACAAGAACAACCCAUUAUAGCAUUGCCUCCAUUGCAUUCAUUUUUGUGAGCUACGUGCAGCUAGACCAUGAAUCGCAGUAUGUUUCAUGUGCCGAUGCCUUCUUCAACACCAUGUAUUGCCUUGCACGGCAACGAGCCCGCAUGCUGUGGGACACAAUGACCGGUGACGUUAUCGUAUAGUCAUUAUUAACAGAGUAUUAGUAGUUGCUUAUAUUAACCACGCACGAGGAUGCUGUUUUUAGUGAAGCCUCGACUUUACUUACACACCAGCAACUUUUUUCUUUUUUUCGAAUUGCGCCCAGCCUAUCGUACGCAGCAUUCUCACAGUCACAGUCACACCCAUACAACACAUUAGGUGGGCAUUAGCACCCUUGUCUGCUGGCUUUUUUUUUUUUGCCAGGUUUAACGAUGUUGCACAAAAGGGAGCCAAGCUAGCAGGCUGUAACACCACCAACCGUGUUGAUGUAUAAGGCUCAACCUUUAGUUCAGUAGAUGCUGGCAGUGAAUGCCAACAAAUGUGCACGGCUAGAGCCUGCCGAUGUUUUAGGCCAGCACUGCAGGUGUUCGUUGUGCCAGAAUAUAGUGGUUGGUUAGGAGGCGAUGGGAGUGUUUUGUUUGUUAGUGUCGGUGUUUGUGACUGUUUCGACGCACCUAACAGUGACUCGGCGUUGCUUGUUGUGGAGUGCGGCACCAGUUUUGUUUGUCUGGUUGGAGUUGCCGUUGGCAGUGCCAAGGAUUGCAGAGAGAGGUCGAUUGUGAAGAGAACUCGCGACAUACUGCCCCGUAAUGCUCACUGGUUGGUUUUUUGGUCCAGAGUGUUGGUGUAGUGUGAUUUGCUGAGGCAGUUGAUGGAGGAUGGUUUGUGGACGUUUUGAAGUGUUCUGUCGUCUGCUUUCCAAACCUUGCUGUUGUCACAGGAUUGGUGUUAACUCGGUGUUUUGUGGAGGCAGUGUGUGUGUGCGUCGUCUGACACUGCGUGUAGUUCUUGUGCUGGGUGUCGCGCAGCUGUAAAGCAGAGGUCGUCAUGACGUGCCCGUCAAGUGGCCUGGUGCCGUUUGCGGUGAUGUUUAAUAGCAGCGGUGUUUAACGUGCAAAGCUGCACUUGUUUGGUUGUUGCGGGACUUGGCUGUUUUUGAAUGUUUGUGGUUUGCCGACAACGUUGUGUUUGUGCCAGUGGUUUUCCAGAUGUUGUGGUUUUGACAAGUUACGCUUUGUGAAGUGCACGACUGGCGAAUUGGUGGCGCACGACUGCCAAACUUAUCUUCGCUCGUAAGAUAAACAGUGGGCGGAUGAGGGAAGCCUCAAUAUCAAGCACUGUUCAGCAACGUGGCAGUCUGUUCUUGGAAACAGCUGGCAUGGUGCUUUGGUGGCUGCCUUGGUAAAAACAAGACACCUUUCUAAAAGGUUGCUCUGAGCCUAGGGUCUGCUCUGUAUGCCAGCUGUUGAUCACUUGAGGCCUGCCAUGUUUCUGUGGCCUUUUGAUUCAUCUGGAUUGCUUACUGUUACACUGAAUCAUACGGCAACUUGUUAAAAACUAAUGAACAGUUACUUGUUUAAUGUCUUAUGUUACAAAACUGAAUUUUAGAAUAUUGUUGCACUGCAUUGCUGCUGUGACUGUACACUUUGCUCAUGGCUUAUGGUAUUGAUAGCUUCAGAGUAAUUUACCAUCUCACAAAAGGUUCGGGUACUUAUUGGCUCUAGUGUGCUAAAAACAGUUGAGAGUGAUUUGUUACAAGGGGAAAAAAGGCAAAUCUUUUGCACGAUAGCACAAUGUGUUACUUGAAUAAGUUAGUGCCUGCCCUUUAAAAGGCAAAAGAAUACAAAAAGCAUGUGCAAAGGACACUCGCCGCACAGUUGAAGGCCAAACAUCUCUACUUUGUGUGUUUGUGUCACUUUUCAUGUUUUUAACCUGGAAAUGCAUAUGUGCUGGUUAAUGUCCCGCACAUUAUAUCAAUAGAGUGGAAACAUCCAUGCCAAUCAGACAUUCAGCAUUAAAGCAAUCCAUAUACUAGUUAGUUAGCAUUUGUGGCUGGUUCAAUUCUUGAGGCGCCUUCACUGAAUACCACUGUGUCGAAUAUCAGCAUCACUUCUAACACGUUUUGCGCCUUUGUUUGGUCAGAAGCAGUGACCACUGCAUACGAGAGGUGGCUCAGUUACGCUGGAGUUGAACAUGGCGUGCACUGUUUUUUUUUUUUUUUUUUGCACAUAUUUCGGUCAUUCCCACACUGUGAAGUGCUUGUUGGAGAUAAGGGAAGAGUGGAAAACGUCAGCCAUGAUGACAGACACAUUGCUCUUGUAUAUAGCCCACCACCACUGCUCACAGCCAUGACUGCUAUUGAAUGCAGGACUCAACUGGUGUAAAGCUUCAAGCUGCCUGCGCAUAUACACAUGGUGUGUCGAUUUUGGCUGGGAUUCCUGCUGAAAUGUUCCGUAUGCAUUUCAGUGAUUCCGUAUGUUGUCCGUCUGAUUACGGAAAGUAGAAUCCGCAUAUACUCCGUAAAGUCAUACGGACUUACUGGGAUGACGUACGAAAGGUUUCAGUAGUGGCAUGCCUAGGAUACUGCUUCUACCAGUGUGUUCAGGUCAAUAACUUUUUUCUCUACCGUGACGUGAAGGUAAAACUACUACAAAAAAGGCUCUUCAGAGAGCUCGAUGAUGCUGUAGUCACUUUUUCUGUCAUCAACAGUAGAUGCCUUCGUGAUGCAUAACUCAUUUAUCACAGUUGGGUACACAAAAUAUGAACUGUAAUGUGAUGCCAAAUGAAGCAGUGGUGCUGUCGCAGCUCAUGUGAUCAUAAUGCUUGGUCACAUACCAGAUCCACAUAAAAGCAGAUUGGAUCCACUAAGCUGACAGUUAAUGUUGCCAGAUGAACAUUUGUAAUUGCGAGAAGUCGCUGUAAUCCGGAAAUUCGAAUGUAGUGCAUUUGGCAUAUAGGUAAAAGAGCAACAAAUGACGUGGCAUGAUGCCUGGAGCUGUGCAGUGAAAUUUCACUCUAAAGGGGGUAGCUUUUUAUUACCACUCAAAGGAUUGAUGUGCACUUUACAACAUUACUGCAGCCAAGAGAGUGAAGCUUCUGAUGCUGUGCAUAUGUUGAUGUGCACUAUCUAGCAUCGUGCUCAUUAAUUGUCAAUUAAAAUAAAAGAAACCUGCAUUUUAAUCUGGUGUAUACAUUUGUGAAUUGGGUGCAACGCAACCAGAGUACACCCAAAGGGGUGUGCUACUAGGCAUGCCAGCUGUCGCACACUUCGAGGUAGACUUUUGUUUUAUUACAGUUGUAAGUGUAUUUAAAACGUUUCGCUUUGGUGAUAAUCUGACGAAGUUGCACUUGAUAACAUAACGUGAACGCAAGCAUUCCAAGCCACAAAGCUGUGGGCACAGAGCUCUUUAUUUUGAAACAAAAAUGCUGAUCACAUUGCUUAUGAUUAUUAUUGCUUGACAAAUGUGCUAUCUGGAAGGUCUAUAAAUUAUAGAACCAUGAAAAGGAAUGUACUACAGGACACAUGCAUUCCAUUAUAUUUGGACAACACUGGGUGAGGCAGUAUCCCGGCAUAGCUUGCCCGUUUCAUUUGUUUUUCAUUGCGGCGAAAUUGCCUGCACUAGUGUUCUUCUAAUGCCAAAUACUCAUCAUUGGUGACUAAACCCCUCUUUUUUGUUUUUUGCUUGUCAUUCAUCUGCAUUGUACUCAAAGAAGAGGCGAAAAGCAUCUUAACCCUUCAUCAAAUGGAAGCACAAAUGUACUGUAAUACCAUCAUCCUUUCUCGCUGUCACCAAAAACACACAACACACACACAUGAAGCGCUAGGAAAUGCAAUAAAAAGAAAAAAAAUGAAUCUCAAGUUUCGAA
Molecule: long non-coding RNA, 9151 nt
Organism: Rhipicephalus sanguineus (brown dog tick)
Lineage: Eukaryota; Metazoa; Arthropoda; Arachnida; Ixodida; Ixodidae
Exons: 3
Source: RefSeq, a predicted model, not a curated record